CCUGGUUGAUCCUGCCAGUAAUCAUAUGCUUGUCUCAAAGAUUAAGCCAUGCAUGUCUAAGUACAUGCCGAAAUAAGGCGAAACCGCGAAUGGCUCAUUAAAUCAGUUAUGGUUCCUUAGAUCGUUUCUUCCUACUUGGAUAACUGUGGCAAUUCUAGAGCUAAUACAUGCAGUGAGCCUGGAGACCCUUUGGGUAACGGGUGCUUUUAUUAGACCAAGAUCGAUCGGGUUUCGGCCCGUAUUGUGUGGUGACUCUGGAUAACUUUGUGCUGAUCGCAUGGCCACGAGCCGGCGACGUUUCUUUCAAGUGUCUGCCUUAUCAACUUUCGAUGGUAGGUUACUUGCUUACCAUGGUUGUUACGGGUAACGGAGAAUCAGGGUUCGAUUCCGGAGAGGGAGCCUGAGAAACGGCUACCACAUCCAAGGAAGGCAGCAGGCGCGCAAAUUACCCACUCCCGGCACGGGGAGGUAGUGACGAAAAUAACAAUACGGGACUCUUUUGAGGCCCCGUAAUUGAAAUGAGUACACUCUAAAUCCUUUAACGAGGAUCAAUUGGAGGGCAAGUCUGGUGCCAGCAGCCGCGGUAAUUCCAGCUCCAAUAGCGUAUACUAAAGCUGCUGCGGUUAAAAAGCUCGUAGUUGGAUCUCAGUUCCAGACGAGUAGUGCAUCUACCCGAUGCGACGGCUCGGACUGAACAUCAUGCCGGUUCUUUCUUGGUGCACUUCAUUGUGUGCCUCGAGAUGGCCGGUGCUUUUACUUUGAAAAAAUUAGAGUGCUCAACGCAGGCGAGUCGCCUGAAUAAACUUGCAUGGAAUAAUAGAACAAGACCUCGUUUCUGUUCUGUUGGUUUUUGGAAUACGAGGUAAUGAUUAAGAGGGACGGACGGGGGCAUUCGUAUUGCGGCGCUAGAGGUGAAAUUCUUGGACCGUCGCAAGACGAACUACUGCGAAAGCAUUUGCCAAGAAUGUUUUCAUUGAUCAAGAACGAAAGUCAGAGGUUCGAAGGCGAUCAGAUACCGCCCUAGUUCUGACCAUAAACGAUGCCAACCAGCGAUCCGCCUGAGUUACUCAAAUGACUCGGCGGGCAGCUUCCGGGAAACCAAAGUAUUUGGGUUCCGGGGGAAGUAUGGUUGCAAAGCUGAAACUUAAAGGAAUUGACGGAAGGGCACCACCAGGAGUGGAGCCUGCGGCUUAAUUUGACUCAACACGGGAAAACUUACCCGGCCCGGACACUGGGAGGAUUGACAGAUUGAGAGCUCUUUCUUGAUUCGGUGGAUGGUGGUGCAUGGCCGUUCUUAGUUGGUGGAGCGAUUUGUCUGGUUAAUUCCGAUAACGAACGAGACUAGCCUAUUAAAUAGGUGCGGGGUUCCCAGCACCUUACAACCAACCUUCUUAGAGGGACAAGCGGCUCCUAGCCGCACGAAACAAGCAAUAACAGGUCUGUGAUGCCCUUAGAUGUCCGGGGCCGCACGCGCGCUACACUGAAGGAAGCAGCGUGUCUUUAUCCCUGUCUGAAAAGACUGGGUAACCCGUGGAACUUCUUUCGUGAUUGGGAUAGGGGCUUGCAAUUGUUCCCCUUGAACGAGGAAUUCCCAGUAACGCGAGUUAUAAAGCGUCGCGUUGAUACAUCCUCCCCUUUGUACACACUGCCCGUCG
Molecule: ribosomal RNA, 1655 nt
Filed under: Rhipicephalus microplus (southern cattle tick)
Lineage: Eukaryota; Metazoa; Arthropoda; Arachnida; Ixodida; Ixodidae
Description: SSU rRNA
Rfam family: Eukaryotic small subunit ribosomal RNA
Source: RNAcentral